UACGAAGGGGGCGAGCGUUGCUCGGAAUCACUGGGCGUAAAGCGCACGUAGGCGGCUCUUUAAGUCAGGGGUGAAAUCCUGGAGCUCAACUCCAGAACUGCCUUUGAUACUGGGGAUCUCGAGUGCGGGAGAGGUGAGUGGAACUCCGAGUGUAGAGGUGAAAUUCGUAGAUAUUCGGAAGAACACCAGUGGCGAAGGCGGCUCACUGGCCCGGUACUGACGCUGAGGUGCGAAAGCGUGGGGAGCAAACAGG
Molecule: ribosomal RNA, 253 nt
Filed under: uncultured bacterium
Lineage: Bacteria
Description: partial 16S ribosomal RNA
Rfam family: Bacterial small subunit ribosomal RNA
Source: RNAcentral